UUGCCCAUUUAAGGCUGACUGUUCCUUGAGCGGCCAGCAUGGGGGUAGAAUAUUUCUCUUAUAAACCUGAAGCAGGGGCUAAAUCUGUUUUUGGAUCCUGUUGGAAGGUACCAAU
Molecule: small nucleolar RNA, 115 nt
Organism: Polyodon spathula (Mississippi paddlefish)
Lineage: Eukaryota; Metazoa; Chordata; Actinopteri; Acipenseriformes; Polyodontidae
Product: small nucleolar RNA SNORA26
Exons: 1
Source: RefSeq, a predicted model, not a curated record